Molecule: long non-coding RNA, 638 nt
Organism: Tachysurus vachellii
Lineage: Eukaryota; Metazoa; Chordata; Actinopteri; Siluriformes; Bagridae
Exons: 3
Source: RefSeq, a predicted model, not a curated record
CUCAAGUGAUGGUUUUGAAUCUACAGAACCAAAAAGAACUAACAGCAGUGCAUUUUAAGACCCAACGAGACACCUGGGUGAAAGAUCGGAGCCAAUCUACAACAGGUUCACCAAUAUCAAUGUUGGAUGGGCAGGCAGUGUUCACGAUGCCAGAGUCCUCCGCAAUUCUAUGAUCUUUGACCUGGCCAAGGUUUUUCCUGAGCAUACUCGCAACAUUGCAGGCAUUGAGGUGCCCAUCAAAAUCCUGGGUGACGCAGCAUACCCCCUCAUGUCUUGGCUUAUGAAACCCUACUCUGACCGGAUGGGCAGUUGAUGGGGGAACAGCAGCAUUUCAACUACCGCCUUAGCAGAGAACGCAUGACGGUAGAGUGGGCAUUUGGGAGGUUAAAGGGCCGGUGGAGGUGCCUCCUCAAACAGUCUGAACUUGAAUUGAAAAGAGUGCCAGUGGUUGUCACAGCCUGCUGCAUUCUGCAUAAUUUGUGUGAGCAAAAUGGAGAAAACUUUGACAACGCCUGGCUACAGGGUGAGAGUGUAUCUGGAACUCUGGAAGAAACCCAGGAGAUGGCACCUGCUCUCCAGCAGCAACAACAACCACACGCCCAUAACAUUCGCACAGCUUUGACUAGGUUGUUUUCUGA